GACGAACGCUGGCGGCGCGCUUAACACAUGCAAGUCGAACGGGCAGCUUCGGCUGUCAGUGGCGAACGGGUGCGUAACACGUGAGCAACCUGCCUGGAGUUGGGGGAUAACCUCGGGAAACCGGGGCUAAUACCGCAUGAUCUCUGUCUACCGAGUGGUGGGUGGAGGAAAGGCGCUUUCGGGCGUUGACUUCAGAGGGGCUCGCGGCGUAUCAGCUGGUUGGUGAGGUAACGGCUCACCAAGGCGACGACGCGUAGGGGGUCUGAGAGGAUGGCCCCCCACAUUGGGACUGAGAUACGGCCCAGACUCCUACGGGAGGCAGCAGUGGGGAAUCUUGCGCAAUGGCCGAAAGGCUGACGCAGCGACGCCGCGUGCGGGAGGAAGCCCUUCGGGGUGUAAACCGCUGUCAGGGGGGACGAAAGCCCGGGGGAGGGAAUGCCCCUUGGGGAUGACGGUACCUCCAGAGGAAGCACCGGCUAACUCC
RNAcentral lists this ribosomal RNA (484 nucleotides) under uncultured Gemmatimonadota bacterium. Its description in RNAcentral is "bacterial SSU rRNA". It matches the Rfam family "Bacterial small subunit ribosomal RNA", at positions 28 to 504 of the family's 1533-position model. The record is from RNAcentral. Lineage: Bacteria; Pseudomonadati; Gemmatimonadota.